This 791-nucleotide ribosomal RNA is filed under the name uncultured Kitasatospora sp. RNAcentral describes it as "bacterial SSU rRNA". It matches the Rfam family "Bacterial small subunit ribosomal RNA", at positions 8 to 796 of the family's 1533-position model. Lineage: Bacteria; Bacillati; Actinomycetota; Actinomycetes; Kitasatosporales; Streptomycetaceae. The record is from RNAcentral.
AGAGUUUGAUCAUGGCUCAGGACGAACGCUGGCGGCGUGCUUAACACAUGCAAGUCGAACGGUGAAGCCCUUCGGGGUGGAUCAGUGGCGAACGGGUGAGUAACACGUGGGCAAUCUGCCCUGCACUCUGGGACAAGCCCUGGAAACGGGGUCUAAUACCGGAUAUGACCUGGGAGCGCAUGCUUUCGGGUGGAAAGCUCCGGCGGUGCAGGAUGAGCCCGCGGCCUAUCAGCUUGUUGGCGGGGUAACGGCCCACCAAGGCGACGACGGGUAGCUGGUCUGAGAGGACGACCAGCCACACGGGAAUUGAGAUACGGUCCCGACUCCUACGGGAGGCAGCAGUGGGGAAUCUUGGGCAAUGGGGGAAACCCUGACCCAGCGACGCCGCGUGGGGGAUGAAGGCCUUCGGGUUGUAAACCCCUGUUAGGUGGGACGAACAUCCUCCGGCAAAUAGCUGGGGGAUCUGACGGUACCACCAGAGAAAGCCCCGGCUAACUCCGUGCCAGCAGCCGCGGUAAUACAGAGGGUGCAAACGUUGUUCGGAAUCACUGGGCAUAAAGCGUAUGUAGGCGGCUCCGUAAGUGUCGGGUGAAAUCCCACGGCCUACCCGUGGAACUGUUCGGCAUACUGCGGAGCUAGAGGAUGGUAGAGGAGAGCGGAACUCUUGGUGGAGCGGUGAAAUGCGUAGAUAUCAAGAGGAACACCGGUGGCGAAGGCGGCUCUCUGGUCCAUUACUGACGCUGAGGUACGAAAGCUAGGGGAGCAAACGGGAUUAGAUACCCCAGUAGUCC